ACGUCUACAUUAGACUACCCGCGUAGUCCCAGCCGUAAACUAUGCGCGUUAGGUGUAUCGGUGACCACGAGUUACCGAGGUGCCGAAGGGAAACCGUGAAACGUGCCGCCUGGGAAGUACGGUCGCAAGGCUGAAACUUAAAGGAAUUGGCGGGGAGCACCACAACGGGUGGAGCCUGCGGUUUAAUUGGACUCAACGCCGGGAAGCUCACCGGAUAAGACAGCGGAAUGAUUGCCGGGCUGAAGACUCUGCAUGACUAGCUG
This 263-nucleotide ribosomal RNA is filed under the name uncultured archaeon. Its description in RNAcentral is "partial 16S ribosomal RNA". It matches the Rfam family "Archaeal small subunit ribosomal RNA", at positions 716 to 982 of the family's 1478-position model. The record is from RNAcentral.